Molecule: non-coding RNA, 29 nt
Filed under: Mus musculus (house mouse)
Lineage: Eukaryota; Metazoa; Chordata; Mammalia; Rodentia; Muridae
Source: RNAcentral
UACCAGAACUGUCUUCCCAGGGUGAGUGU